AGCGAACGCUGGCGGCGUGCCUAACACAUGCAAGUCGAACGUGAAAGGGAGCAAUCCUGAGUAAAGUGGCGUACGGGUGAGUAACGCGUAGGUAAUCUACCCCAGAGUCUGGAAUAACCUGCCGAAAGGCGGGCUAAUACUGGAUAGAGCGAUGGAAUCCGUAAUUGGGUUUUUCGGGAAAGGGAGGAAGCAAUUCCCUUUGCUCUGGGAUGAGCCUGCGUCUCAUUAGCUAGUUGGUGAGGUAAUAGCUCACCAAGGCAUUGAUGGGUAGCUGGUCUGAGAGGAUGAUCAGCCACACUGGAACUGAAGCACGGUCCAGACUCCUACGGGAGGCAGCAGUGGGGAAUCUUGCGCAAUGGACGAAAGUCUGACGCAGCCACGCCGCGUGAGUGAAGAAGGCCUUCGGGUUGUAAAGCUCUGUCGCCCGGGACGAAAAUCCUAUGAGUGAAUAGCUCAUGGGACUGACGGUACCGGGAGAGGAAGCACCGGCUAACUCCGUGCCAGCAGCCGCGGUAA
This 516-nucleotide ribosomal RNA is filed under the name uncultured bacterium. RNAcentral's name for it is "partial 16S ribosomal RNA". It matches the Rfam family "Bacterial small subunit ribosomal RNA", at positions 29 to 523 of the family's 1533-position model. The record is from RNAcentral.